RNAcentral lists this long non-coding RNA (985 nucleotides) under Nicotiana benthamiana. RNAcentral describes it as "long non-coding RNA (NBEN_LNC039250)". Lineage: Eukaryota; Viridiplantae; Streptophyta; Magnoliopsida; Solanales; Solanaceae. The record is from RNAcentral.
UGCAUAAUUUUAUUAAUAAGGUAAAUGCAUGAUGAAUCAUACAAUUCUUUACCCAGCCAACUUUUGUAGUGGCGUUUUUGUAAUUUUGAAAUAACGAGUUGCUCACUUGACUUUCUUUAUUAUACAUACAUGUAUAACAACGACAACAACCCAGUGUAAUCCCAGUUAGUGAGGUCUGGGGAGGCUAAUAUGUACGCAUACCUUACUCCUACCUUUGGGUAGAGAGGUUGUUUCAAAUAGACCCCCGGCAUUCUUCCCUCCAAGAACUUCCCACCUUGCUCUUGGGAGACUCAAACUCACAACCUCUCGGCUUAUUAUACAUACAUGUAAAUUCUGGAAAACAAGCAAAUGAAGGAAACAUUAAACAACACAGAAACCCAACUGCAUAAUGGAGAUGUGUAGAAGAGCUUGUCUCCAAUGUACACUACUUCAAUGUCAGACACAUAGGGCCACCAACUGUAGCAGAGGAUCCACAAGCGCAGCAAACCCAACAAUCGUUGCAAUCCAAGCUAGUUUCACAAGAUCUAAAACAAGUAUUGAGUUGUGGGAGUAAUCUCUUCCUCAUUCCUAAGAGAUUAUGAUCAACAUCCAGUGCAGCUCCGACUUUUGUGUUCGUCAAAAGGGUCAAAUCUGCUAUAAAUAUUCAUCAUUAUAGUAAAUUAAAAAUAAUAAUCUGAUACAACAAAAAUGACACCCAUAUAAGCGUUAUUCAGCGAAUCAGAUGUAUAUUCAUGCUUUAAUAUGAAACAUGUAAGCUGUCAUGUAUAAAUAAAAAAAGAUGUAGAUGAUAUAUAAUUAUAAUUUUGUGUUAAACAUUGGUGGUACUUACUUGUUGCCACCAUAAUGAGAAUAGCGAGAACAAAAGAAUGCUUUAGCAACAUCAUUGGAAUAGUAGUUCACACUUAUGAAUGUUUUUUUGAGUGGCUAAUUACUCCUAAAAUUUCGUAAUUUACAGACCUCCUUGAAGUCAAACUACAUCUCUUGC